GAACAUAUAGAAUCUACCAAGAUUGAAUAAAAAAGACAUAGAAAACCUGAACAGACCAGUUACAAGUAAUGAAGUUGAAACAGUAAUUUUUAAAAUCUCUGAACAAACAAAUGUGCAUGACUGGAUGGCUUAACUGCCAAAUUCUACCAAACUUUCUAAGAACUAACACCAAUUCUCCUCAAAACUAUUCCCAAAAAUUAAAGAGGGAAUUCUCCAUAACUCAUUUUACAAGGCCAGCAUUACCCUGAUACUAAAACCAGACAGAGACUCAACAAAAAAAGUACAGGCCAACAUCCCUGAAGAACAUACACACAAAGCUCCUCAACAAAUACUAGCAAACCCAAUCCAACAGCAUAUCAAGAAGAUAAUACACUAUGAUCAACUAAGAUUUAUUCCAGGGAUUCAAGGAUGAUUCAAUAUAUGCAAAUCAAUAAGUGUGCUAUAUCACAUCAACAGAAUGAAAGACAAAUACUGUAUCACCAUCUCAAUAGACGCAGAAAAAGGAUUUAAUAGGAGGCUGGCACCAUGGGGUUAUCGAAGCAGCUGUCACGAUGCUGGGGUUCCUGGUGUUGAAGAGAAAAGCACCGGCGCCACGGCUACUCCACCAGCUACUCAGGUCCCCAGUGCUCCAGGGUCAUGGAGGUGCUUUCGGCCGGAAUGUGACCACUGGGGGUCUCUGGGAGCCUCAGUGGCUGAGGGCAGCCUCCUGGGGGCGCCCUGGAACAUCGUUGGCCUUGUUCUCCGGACUCGGGGCAGCCACUGGGGGGCGCCAUGGAGGACGUCUCAAUACCAAAUGCCUCACGGCUGCCAUUUGGGUGCACCUUCCCGGCCCCGAAGAAACACUCCCAGGACAGGACAGCCAGACCGAGGUCCCCAACAGGGCUGGACUGGGCAUGAGGACCCUCGCCACAGCGCUGGUGGCUCAUUGCUACAGCAAGAGUCCGUCCAACAAGGAUGCAGCCCUGAUGGAAGCUGCCCGUGCCAACAAUCCACAUGAAGUCAGCAGACUGCUGUCAGAAGGCUCAGAUGUCAAUGCAAGGCAUAGACUUGGCUGGACAGCACUCGUGGUGGCAGCCAUCAACCGAAAUGACAGUGUGAUACAGGUCCUGCUUGCUGCCGGGGCUGAUCCAAACCUUGGAGACGAUUUCAGCAGUAUUUACAAGACUGCCAAGGACCAGGGAAUCCAUUCUUUGGAAGUCCUGGUCACCCAAGAGGAUGACUUCAACAACAGGCUGUCCUUGCUGAUGACUACCGCACUAUCAAGGAGCUGCUUGAUGGAGGAGCCAACCCCCUGCAGAGGAAUGAAAUGUGACACACACCCUUGGAUUAUGCCCGAGAAGGGGAAGUGAUGAAACUUCUGAGGACUUCUGAAGCCAAGUACCAAGAGAAGCAGUGAAAGCGUGAGUCUGAGGAGCGGCGCCACUUCCCCCUGGAGCAGUGACUGAAGGAGCACAUCAUUGGCCAGGAGAGCCCCAUCGCCACAGUGGGUGCUGCGAUCUGGAGGAAGGAGAAUGGCUGGUACGAUGAAGAACACCCUCUGGUCUUCCUCUUCUUGGGAUCAUCUGGAAUAGGAAAAACAGAGCUGGCCAAGCAGACAGCCAAAUAUAUGCACAAAGAUGCUAAAAAGGGCUUCAUCAGGCUGGACAUGUCUGAGUUCCAGGAGCGACACGAGGUGGCCAAGUUUAUUGGGUCCCCACCAGGCUACGUCGGCCAUGAGGAGGGUGGCCAGCUGACCAAGAAGUUGAGGCAGUGCCCCAAUGCUGUGGUGCUCUUUGAUGAAGUAGACAAGGCCCAUCCAGAUGUGCUCACCAUCAUGCUGCAGCUGUUUGAUGAGGGCAGACUGACAGAUGGAAAAGGGAAGACCAUUGAUUGCAAGGGCGCCAUCGUCAUCAUGAUCUCCAAUGUGGCCAGCGAUGAGAUCGCACAGCACGCACUGCAGCUGGGGCAGGAAGCUUUGGAGAUGAGCCAUAACCAUAUUGCCGUAAACCUGGGAGAUGUCCACAUAAGUGACAAGAUCACCAUCUUAAAGAACUUCCAGGAGAAUGUGAUUCGCCCUAUCCUGAAAGCUCACUUCCGGAGGGAUGAGUUUCUGGGACGGAUCAAUGAGAUCGUCUAUUUCCUCCCCUUCUGCCACUCAGAGCUCAUCCAACUCGUCAACAAGAAACUAAACUUCCAGGCCAAGAGAGCCAAGCAAAGACACAACAUCAUGCUGCUCUGGGACCGCGAGGUGGCAGACGUGCUGGUCGACGGCUACAACGUGCACUAUGGCGCCCGCUCCAUCAAACAUGAGGUAGAGCGCCCUGUGGUGAACCAGCUGGCAGCAGCCUAUGAGCAGGACCUGCUACCAGGCGGCUGCACUCUGCGCAUCACAGUGGAGCACUCAGACAAGCAGCUACUCAAGAGCCCAGAACUGCCCUCACCUCAGGCUGAGAAGCGCCUCCCCAAGCUGAGGCUGGAGAUCAUCGACAAGGACAACAAGACUCGCAAACUGGACAUCUGGGCACCAAUGCAUCCUGAAAGGGUGUGUAACAUCAUCUAGCAGCCACCUGCCUGCCUAUAUGCACCCUCACCAUCCAAUAAAAGCCCCUCUGC
RNA transcript from Cebus imitator (Panamanian white-faced capuchin), 2592 nucleotides. It is a transcript of the gene named caseinolytic peptidase B protein homolog, with no coding region annotated. Lineage: Eukaryota; Metazoa; Chordata; Mammalia; Primates; Cebidae. The transcript has a single exon. The record is from RefSeq and is a predicted model, not a curated record.